Regulatory RNA element from Terrisporobacter sp., 262 nucleotides. It matches the Rfam family "T-box leader". Rfam says of the family: Uncharged tRNA acts as the effector for transcription antitermination of genes in the T-box leader family. T-boxes are found upstream of many aminoacyl-tRNA synthetase genes and some amino acid biosynthetic genes usually in Gram-positive bacteria. NCBI's taxonomy places the organism in Bacteria, Bacillati, Bacillota, Clostridia, Peptostreptococcales, Peptostreptococcaceae. The record is from Rfam.
UUAAAAGCGUUGACGGAGACAAAAAUACUUAAUCUAAUUAAUUACAGAGAGCCAAGAUUGCUGAGAAUUGGUGUUAAUUUAAGUAUAUAAUGAUCACUCCCAGCUUUCAUAUUGAAAAGUUUUCUUAGUAAAUAUGAACGUAUGCUAGCGUUACUUAGCUAUAGUUAAGAUUAGCUCUGACUAGAAUAAAUGAGAGAUAACCUGUAUAUUUUUUUAGGUUAUAAGUAAGGUGGUACCGCGGAAUAUAACUUUCGUCCUUAUG